UGGCUUGCAAUAAUCUUGAACCUGGAAGAGAUUAUGAUGACAAAGAAGUCUGGAAUAAACAAGAAACCUCCGAACCACCAUAACUGUGUCUGCUACAAUGUGUGUUCUUGCAACCAGCUGAUUGAUUCAUUUUAUCAACUCUCAAAUGGUUGAUUAUCAGAACUGAAUUCAGAGCUGCUCCUGUCUGUAGUAACAUCUUAUUAGAGUGGACUUCAGAAUGAGGGUGUUGCUGGUUUAAAAA
This is a long non-coding RNA of Lytechinus pictus (painted urchin), 241 nucleotides long. RefSeq lists it as uncharacterized. The transcript is spliced from 3 exons. Lineage: Eukaryota; Metazoa; Echinodermata; Echinoidea; Temnopleuroida; Toxopneustidae. The record is from RefSeq and is a predicted model, not a curated record.